UAGGGAAUAUUGGACAAUGGGGGAAACCCUGAUCCAGCCAUGCCGCGUGAGUGAUGAAGGCCUUAGGGUUGUAAAGCUCUUUCGGCGGGGAAGAUAAUGACGGUACCCGCAGAAGAAGCCCCGGCUAACUUCGUGCCAGCAGCCGCGGUAAUACGAAGGGGGCUAGCGUUGCUCGGAAUCACUGGGCGUAAAGCGCACGUAGGCGGAUUUCUAAGUCAGGGGUGAAAUCCUGGAGCUCAACUCCAGAACUGCCUUUGAUACUGGAAAUCUCGAGUUCGGGAGAGGUGAGUGGAACUGCGAGUGUAGAGGUGAAAUUCGUAGAUAUUCGCAAGAACACCAGUGGCGAAGGCGGCUCACUGGCCCGAUACUGACGCUGAGGUGCGAAAGCGUGGGGAGCAAACA
This 402-nucleotide ribosomal RNA is filed under the name uncultured bacterium. RNAcentral describes it as "bacterial SSU rRNA". It matches the Rfam family "Bacterial small subunit ribosomal RNA", at positions 355 to 774 of the family's 1533-position model. The record is from RNAcentral.